UCAGGCCUAACACAUGCAAGUCGAGGGGUAGAAGGAGCUUGCUCCUUUGAGACCGGCGCACGGGUGCGUAACGCGUAUGCAAUCUACCUUUUACAGAGGGAUAGCCCAGAGAAAUUUGGAUUAAUACCUCAUAGUAUAUAACCUUCGCAUGUUGGUUAUAUUAAAGUUCCAACGGUAAAAGAUGAGCAUGCGUCCUAUUAGCUAGUUGGUGUAGUAACGGCACACCAAGGCAACGAUAGGUAGGGGUCCUGAGAGGGAGAUCCCCCACACUGGUACUGAGACACGGACCAGACUCCUACGGGAGGCAGCAGUGAGGAAUAUUGGACAAUGGGCGCAAGCCUGAUCCAGCCAUGCCGCGUGCAGGAAGACGGUCCUAUGGAUUGUAAAGUGCUUUUGUACGGGAAGAAACACUCCUACGUGUAGGAGCUG
Molecule: ribosomal RNA, 429 nt
Filed under: uncultured bacterium
Lineage: Bacteria
Description: bacterial SSU rRNA
Rfam family: Bacterial small subunit ribosomal RNA
Source: RNAcentral